AUACUUACCUGGACGGGGUCAAUGGGCGAUCAGGAAGGCCCAUGUCUUAGGUUGGUGACCUCCAUUGCACGUAGGAGGGGCGCCAGCCUAAGAUCUGCCCAAGAGGCAGAGCCUACGUCAUAAUUUGUGGUGGUGGGGGCCUGCGUUCGCGCGGCCCCUGC
Small nuclear RNA from Cucurbita moschata (crookneck pumpkin), 161 nucleotides. RefSeq annotates it as U1 spliceosomal RNA. The record is from RefSeq and is a predicted model, not a curated record. Lineage: Eukaryota; Viridiplantae; Streptophyta; Magnoliopsida; Cucurbitales; Cucurbitaceae. The transcript has a single exon.